Molecule: RNase P RNA, 455 nt
Filed under: Desulfuromonas sp.
Lineage: Bacteria; Pseudomonadati; Thermodesulfobacteriota; Desulfuromonadia; Desulfuromonadales; Desulfuromonadaceae
Description: RNase P RNA component class A
Rfam family: Bacterial RNase P class A
About the family: Ribonuclease P (RNase P) is a ubiquitous endoribonuclease, found in archaea, bacteria and eukarya as well as chloroplasts and mitochondria. Its best characterised activity is the generation of mature 5'-ends of tRNAs by cleaving the 5'-leader elements of precursor-tRNAs. Cellular RNase Ps are ribonucleoproteins.
Source: RNAcentral
GAAGAAGGACGGGUGGUCGCCGGUCACCCCGGCUCGUUCCGGGUGUGACGGGAGGAAAGUCCGGGCUCCGCAGGGCGGGAUGGUUCCUAACGGGAACCGGGGGUAACCCCAGGGAAAGUGCCACAGAGAGCAGACCGCUUCUCCUUCGCUAAAGCUUCGUCGAACAGGCGCUCCUUCGUGAGGGUUUGUCCGCCGGAGCGCCCUUUGUGGUGCGGAGGCGGAGUAAGGGUGAAAGGGUGAGGUAAGAGCUCACCAGGUCCGGCGGUGACGUCGGAUGCUAGGUAAACCCCAUCCGGAGCAAGGCCGAAUAGGGAAGCGUUUGAGGACGGCCCGUCCGAAGCUUCCGGGUUGGCUGCUUGAGGUCGUCGGCAACGGCGACCCUAGAUGAAUGACCAUCACCUCUGUUCGGGUAACCGGGCCGAGGGACAGAACCCGGCUUACGGCCUUCUUCAACC